Long non-coding RNA from Olea europaea var. sylvestris, 1030 nucleotides. RefSeq lists it as uncharacterized. The transcript is spliced from 2 exons. The record is from RefSeq and is a predicted model, not a curated record. NCBI's taxonomy places the organism in Eukaryota, Viridiplantae, Streptophyta, Magnoliopsida, Lamiales, Oleaceae.
CUUCACUAAACUUCCCAAUGGCCACUGAACUUAAAUCCGUUGCACUAAAAUGGCCACCGGAUGGAUUCCGUCUUUGCUUGUGCCUACGUGCAUGACGGAAAUGUGGAUUGGCAGUUAAAAUUGUUCAUAUUUUGAGUGAGUUGCACACGUGGAUGCCAAAUCAUCCAAACGAGCCCUUACCCAUAUAAACCCAAAUCCAAUUCAUUUUCAAAUCGUGCUUUCAGCUGCGAUUUUGGAGAAUCCUUUAAUUUGGAGGAAAAUGAAAGCAUGAGAAGAAAGGGGUCAAGCCCAAAACACGCCCAGAGCCUUAACCCCCAAAUCCAUUUCAAACAUCCAAUUUGAUUCGGUUUGCGCUAGCUGAAUUUGGCAACCAAUACCGCACACAGAAGGUCCAUUUCAUCUGAAGGCUUGUGGAUGUGCAGGUUGUUUUUAACUAAUUACUUCAUUGAAACCACUUGUCGGAAUGCCCAACAAAGAAACGACUUUGAGGAUGUGGAUUUGGCUUCUUGAAAUGUAUAGAGGUAGAGAAAAAAACUGAAAACAUAGGCCACUUAUUCUCAUGUUGUCGUAGAGAUUGUGGUUAUUUCAAGUGGAACUACAAUUCAUCAUCGUUCGAAGAAAUACCUUUGCAAUUUGAAGGUGAGUUUAGUCGAGAAUCGAAUCUGUUUGUUCGGGUAAAUCGAAGCCGAAAGAGCCACUUGAAGAUUUGUCGUGUAUGUUGAAGACAUUUGUUCAGAUAACAAAACAAAAAGAUGUGGAAAUAUCCAGCAAUAUGAUGAUCCGCAAAGGAAAGGGAGUUAUUGAGGACAAAGGGAAAGAAAAUGGAAGAGUUCCUUGAAUUUGAUCCAACCAUGUAAUCAAAUAAAAGUCUCAUGUAACCGUAAGUUGUAAUAGUUGCAAUAGUUUAAGGUUUCAAGACUUGGAUGCAGUGUUGUAAUAGAUUAAUGUUUUGAGACUUGGAUGCGAUAUUGUAGUAACUCUGUUAAAUGAGAAUGAGAAUGAGAAUGUAUGGUCAGCAGUUUUAUCUUCA